This is a long non-coding RNA of Coregonus clupeaformis (lake whitefish), 377 nucleotides long. RefSeq lists it as uncharacterized. The transcript has 3 exons. The record is from RefSeq and is a predicted model, not a curated record. NCBI's taxonomy places the organism in Eukaryota, Metazoa, Chordata, Actinopteri, Salmoniformes, Salmonidae.
UUGGGCCUUAGUCAAAGUAGUGCACUAUAAAUGGAAUAGGGUGCCAUUUGGGAUGCCACCUGACAGAGAAUAAAUCAUAAAAGAGAAACUUAUGCAGAUCAUUUGAUGAGGAGCUCAUAGAAGCCUCAACACUGAAGAAGACAAGCAGCAACCAUUUUGAGGGAAUAUCAAUACAACCAUGGAACGUGGGGUGUUUCUCAUCAUAAUUUUUUCAGGAAUAGGCAGCAUCUACACUGCAACAAGCACAACUGCAGAUCCUAAUAUGACAACCACAACUGAGGUUCCUGCUACGACAAUCACAGCUGCAGCUCCUACUACGACAAUCACAGCUGCAGCUCCUACUACGACAACCACAGCUGCAGCUCCUACUACGACAA